CAGUCGCCGCGGUAAUACGGAGGGUGCAAGCGUUAUCCGGAUUUAUUGGGUUUAAAGGGUCCGUAGGCGGACUUAUAAGUCAGUGGUGAAAGCCUGUCGCUUAACGAUAGAACUGCCAUUGAUACUGUAAGUCUUGAGUAUAUUUGAGGUAGCUGGAAUAAGUAGUGUAGCGGUGAAAUGCAUAGAUAUUACUUAGAACACCAAUUGCGAAGGCAGGUUACCAAGAUAUAACUGACGCUGAGGGACGAAAGCGUGGGUAGCGAACAGGAUUAGAUACCCGUGUAGUCCCUGUCUCUUAUAC
RNAcentral lists this ribosomal RNA (301 nucleotides) under uncultured bacterium. RNAcentral's name for it is "partial 16S ribosomal RNA". It matches the Rfam family "Bacterial small subunit ribosomal RNA", at positions 509 to 807 of the family's 1533-position model. The record is from RNAcentral.